CCGAGUGUUGUCACCAGUCUCACCGUUUCUAGUAAAACCACAUCAUCUGUGUCUCUAACCUGGAAUAAACCAACUGGGAACAGCUCCUUGUUUAUAGUAAACUGGACUGAUGGCAGUGUGAAUAUCAGCAGUAACACUUCAAACCUGUCUUACACUGUCACUGGUCUGACUGCUGGAGUGAACUACACAUUCAGUGUUACUGCAGUUGCUGCAGAUGGACAAACUACAGGAGCAACAAGUCAAAUAUCAGCAUUUACAAAUCCAGAUGUUGUGACUAAUCUCAGUGUCUCUAACAAAACCACAUCAUCUGUGUUUCUAACCUGGAAUAAACCAACUGGGAACAGCUUGUUGUUUAUAUUAAACUGGACUGGUGGCAGUGUGAAUAAAAGCAGUAACACUUUAAACCUGUCUUACAAUGUCACUGGUCUGACUGCUGGAGUGAAAUACACAUUCAGUGUUACUGCAUUUCCUGCAGAUAAUCAAACUACAGGAGCAACAAGUCAGAUCUCAGCAUUUACAAAGCCAGACAUUGUCAGAAAUCUCUCAUUCUCUGGAGUCACAAACACAUCUGUAAAUCUGGACUGGGCUGAACCCUUAGGAGAGACAUCAUUCUUUAGGGUACAGUGGAUAAGCAGCAGUAUUUCAACAUCUUUAACUUCUGCAACUACCUUUAACAUUUCCAAUCUACAACCUGGAACAAAUUACACAUUUACAGUCUCAGCUGUUGCUGCUGAUAAUACAACAGAAGGAUCCCGGGUUGGCCUUUCCACUUGUACAGGUGCAAGUCCUGUCUUUAACAUAAGCUGUGAAGGACCAAAUCGCACUGCAACAGCUCUGCUGAACGUAACAUGGACGAAUCCUCCAGGCAGCAACAAUGGAUUCAAUAUCAGUCUCAAUCACUUAUUCAGCAACUUUGUUCCAUCUUGCAAUCCUGUCUGCAACUACAUUUUUUAUACUAACCUCCAAUAUUUUAGCUCCUACACAGUGAUUAUUUCAACCCAUGGAUGUGGUGAGAGUUCCACAUUGGACUUUACAUGCAGAACAGGCAUUACA
This is a long non-coding RNA of Clarias gariepinus (North African catfish), 1053 nucleotides long. RefSeq lists it as uncharacterized. The transcript is spliced from 4 exons. Lineage: Eukaryota; Metazoa; Chordata; Actinopteri; Siluriformes; Clariidae. The record is from RefSeq and is a predicted model, not a curated record.